Molecule: long non-coding RNA, 286 nt
Organism: Magnolia sinica
Lineage: Eukaryota; Viridiplantae; Streptophyta; Magnoliopsida; Magnoliales; Magnoliaceae
Exons: 3
Source: RefSeq, a predicted model, not a curated record
AUUUUUUUUUAAAGAGGAAGGUUAAUGGACAUGCAUCUCAGUUAAUCUGAUUGAUUGCUUUCAACCUUGAGAAGAGGGUCAACAAAAAAGUUAUGGCAAUGUUCGAGAAAGCUGAAGAUGAAUACAAUGACUUAUUAUCCAAGAAAAACAUCAUUGAGAAUGAUAAGUCAAAAAUCAAGAAAGUGAUUGAAGAGCUUGAUGAAAAGAAGAAGGAAACACUAAAAGUUACUUGGGUUAAAGUGAACAAGCUGACAAACUAAAGAAGUCAAUGGAGGAUGGAAGUGAU